RNAcentral lists this unclassified non-coding RNA (333 nucleotides) under Hevea brasiliensis (rubber tree). Lineage: Eukaryota; Viridiplantae; Streptophyta; Magnoliopsida; Malpighiales; Euphorbiaceae. The record is from RNAcentral.
AAGAAAGAUAGCGCAGGUGCUAGACAUGGUGAAAGGUAACAUGUAUAUUCUACUGUGAUUCCCCUUACCUUUGAAUUUGAGAUCAAUUGAAUUGGAUAUUGCCAUCAAAAGUGAAAAGGGAUUCAGUCCAGAAUUGGUAAAUCAGCUGUUGGGGUUUGUGUUGUAAUCAUGACAAUGCUAGGUAUGGCAGCUGUUGACGCUCGGUACUCUUUCAUUGUGCUGAAAUGAAACUAUCCCGCAUCUCAUAUUCCAGAAAAGAGAUUAUUGGUUUCUACUUUUGGUGUUGUGAAAUGUUGCAAUUUAUCAAAAUAGGAUACACAAUGUAAUUACCAC